AGAGAGUCGUUGAGCAGGCUCAGGUCUUAUCCAGAGAGUCGUUGAGCAGGCUCAGGUCUUAUCCAGAGAGUCGUUGAGCAGGCUCAGGUCUUAUCCAGAGAGUCGUUGAGCAGGCUCAGGUCUUAUCCAGAGAGUCGUUGAGCAGGCUCAGGUCUUAUCCAGAGAGUCGUUGAGCAGGCUCAGGUCUUAUCCUGAGAGUCGUUGAGCAGGCUCAGGUCUUAUCCUGAGAGUCGUUGAGCAGGCUCAGGUCUUAUCCAGAGAGUCGUUGAGCAGGCUCAGGUCUUAUCCUGAGAGUCGUUGAGCAGGCUCAGGUCUUAUCCGGAGAGUCAGGCUCAGGUCUUAUCCAGAGAGUCGUUGAGCAGGCUCAGGUCUUAUCCUGAGAGUCGUUGAGCAGGCUCAGGUCUUAUCCUGAGAG
Molecule: non-coding RNA, 415 nt
Organism: Oncorhynchus mykiss (rainbow trout)
Lineage: Eukaryota; Metazoa; Chordata; Actinopteri; Salmoniformes; Salmonidae
Source: RefSeq, a predicted model, not a curated record